Molecule: unclassified non-coding RNA, 201 nt
Filed under: uncultured Actinomycetes bacterium
Lineage: Bacteria; Bacillati; Actinomycetota; Actinomycetes
Description: uncultured actinobacterium contains 16S-23S intergenic spacer region
Source: RNAcentral
UCCGAGUUGUCCCCGGCGGUCCCCUUAGAGUCCCCGGCAUUACCCGCUGGCAACUAAGAGCAGGGGUUGCGCUCGUUGCGGCACUUAAGCCAACACCUCACGGCACGAGCUGACGACCUGCGUCAUCCCAUCUUUCGAUUGGGGCAGGACUAUACCUUCACCCGAUGUAUCGACCAUCGGGGCCGGCGUAUUGCACCACUC